This 134-nucleotide transfer RNA is filed under the name Biscogniauxia mediterranea. RNAcentral describes it as "tRNA-Arg". It matches the Rfam family "tRNA". From Rfam's summary of the family: Transfer RNA (tRNA) molecules are approximately 80 nucleotides in length. The record is from RNAcentral. Lineage: Eukaryota; Fungi; Ascomycota; Sordariomycetes; Xylariales; Xylariaceae.
GCGCAGUUGGCGCAAUGGAUAGCGCAUAGUCCUCCUAUUUGCCAUUGUCAAAGAAAAACUCCCUACUAUGGGCAGUAAAACUUUGGCUAUAUAGUGAAAGACUGGGGUUGCGGGUUCGAGUCCCGUGCUGCGUG